UACGAAGGGGGCUAGCGUUGCUCGGAAUUACUGGGCGUAAAGGGCGCGUAGGCGGACAGUUAAGUCAGAGGUGAAAGCCCAGGGCUCAACCCUGGAAUUGCCUUUGAUACUGGCUGUCUUGAGUACGGGAGAGGUGAGUGGAACUCCGAGUGUAGAGGUGAAAUUCGUAGAUAUUCGGAAGAACACCAGUGGCGAAGGCGACACACUGGCCCGUAACUGACGCUGAGGCGCGAAAGCGUGGGGAGCAAACAGGAUUAGAAACCCCGGUAGUCC
This 273-nucleotide ribosomal RNA is filed under the name uncultured bacterium. RNAcentral's name for it is "partial 16S ribosomal RNA". It matches the Rfam family "Bacterial small subunit ribosomal RNA", at positions 524 to 796 of the family's 1533-position model. The record is from RNAcentral.